UGAUACGUCCCAAACAAACCGCUUUGGUCGUGUUUAUCAGAGACGCUUUAAGAAAAGUUUAAAAUAGGAUAAUUAUAAGUUAUAGUUAUCUAGUUAUUAUUGCUUAGUUAUUUUAUUAUUUAGGAAUCGGAUGUUUAGGACUUUUGGUUAUUUUAGCAGGUCACUAUAAUUGGUGCACCAUAGGGAGAAUUGUUUCUUUUAUCGAUUAAUUAAUAAAGCCGUGAGGUAAUUUUGGAGUUCUUCCUGUGACUCGAAUAACAGGAACAGUUCACGGGAAUACCUGUGAUCAUAUCAAUUGGUAUCAGAGCAAAACGCUCCUGAUGUCAGAUGCGGAGAGGCUGUCAGGCAAGGGCACCAACACCAAGCGAUUGGUAGCGUUGGAGGAGGUAGUCAACAAGGCAUUGGAGUCAGCCGAGGCACGUCAGACGGAGUUUGCGGACCAGAUUCAACAGCUGAUCAGGGCUGUUGCUGAGUUGACGGUGGCGGUGGGUCGGCCUAAGAAGAAAUCAAAGUACGAAUCCCCGUCUGAUCCCAGUGACGAUUCGGAGGAUGACGACUCGGAUGUUUCUGAUCGCAGUUCUCGAUCAGGGGCUUCCAAACGAUCAAAGAAGGAGGGCCGGAAACGCGACCUGGUUCGGGAUUGUCGAAAGAUGAAGAUACCCCUUUUUUCAGGGGAGGAUGUGCAGGGCUGGCUCUACAAGGUUGAGAGGUAUUUCGAGCUACACAAAUUCCGUGGUAAGGACAAGCUUAAGGCCGUCGGAAUUUGUUUGGAGGGAGCGCCCCUGUCGUGGUUUCGGUGGAAGGAAGAGAAAUCUCCCUUUGGUUCGUGGUCGCGGUUUAAACGAAAGUUGCUGGAACGAUUCCAGCAGUCGCACGAGGGAAGCAUUAAGGAACAAUUUUUGGAUAUUCGUCAGGAGGGUACGGUGCGGGAAUAUGUGGAUCGAUUUGAAGGUUUUGCGGGUCAAUUGCUGGGUGUACCAGAUGAUAUCAUGGAAUGUACCUUUAUUAAAGGUCUAAAACCAGAAAUUAGAGGGGAGGUUUGGAUCGCGAAACCUGGUUCACUCGAGCACGCCAUCCGGGUGGCAAUCAAGAUUGAUGACAACAAAGGCGGAGGUGUGGUUAAGUCGGGCUCUGCUACAUCUAAGGGGAAUUAUGGUUAUGGAACUAGAAGAGGGAUUUCACCCCAAAUUAAAACUAAUAUGGGGAAUACAAGCCUAGUAUAGACUAAUGUCAAGAAGGAGGAUAAUGUGCAAGGGGGAUUCAAGAAGCUGACAGCUGCUGAACUGGCAGAUAAACGGGCUCGUGGACUCUGUUUUAGGUGUGAUGGGAAGUUUGCGCCUGGCCAUAAGUGUCCAAGUAAGGCUUUGCAGGUUCUAAUCAUUGAUGGGGAGGAGGACGAUGGGGGUGAAGAGGAGUUGGAAGAUGGCAAUCAUGCGCAUUUGGACAUGGCAGAAGUAUCACUCAAUUCUGUAAGUGGUCUAACCUCGCCUAGGACAAUGAAAGUAUUAGGAAAGAUUGGGGAUAAGGAGGUAGUAGUUCUCGUUGAUAGUGGGGCCACCCACAAUUUCGUUUCCUCAAGAUUAAUUGACGAACUAGCCCUCGUGGUGACGGGUACACGGUCGGUGGGAGUGAAACUGGGUAAUGGAGUGAUCGCGUGAAGUUUUGGAUGUUGCAAGGGGUUGGUUCUUGAGUUGCUCGAGUUGCGUGUGAUCGAAGACUUUUUACCUUUUUAGCUUGGGGGGUCCGACGUGAUUUUGGGUAUCAAGUGGCUGCAAACACUGGGUGAUAUGACCGUAAAUUGGUUGGAACUUAGGAUGCAAUUUUGGUUAGAUCACCGACUAGUCACUCUCCGAGGUGACCCAAGUUUAUCAAAAUCCAUGGCGUCUUGUAAGACGUUGCAAAAGUUGUUGCAGCAGGAAGGUGAGGGAUACCUCGUGCACCUCCAGGGCGAUUAUGGCUUGUUAAAUUUUGGUAUAACUUCCGCUCCAAUCAAGGCAGUAUUGGAUGGUUUUGGCGACGUUUUCAGUUUGCCGGUUGGUUUACCACCGACUCGAAGUCAUACUCACUCUAUUAUACUUAAGGAAGGCACACCACCCAUAAGUGUAAGGCCCUACCGAUACCCGCACGUGCAAAAAGACGAGAUUGAGCGGUUAGUACGGGAAAUGUUGGAUGUAGGUAUUAUACAACCAAGCACGAGUCCAUUCUCUAGUCCUGUUUUGCUGAUAAAGAAAAAAGAUGGCAGUUGGAGGUUUUGUGUGGAUUAUCGGGCCCUUAAUAAAGCGACCGUGCUCGACAAGUUUCCGAUUCCUGUCAUCGAUGAGCUUUUGGAUGAAUUGCAUGGGUCCGUGAUUUUUUCACGAUUGGAUUUGAAAUCUGGUUAUCACCAGAUCCGAAUGAGGGAAGCAGAUGUUCCAAAGACAGCUUUUAGGACACAUGAGGGCCACUACGAGUUUCUUGAUAUGCCGUUUGGGUUAACUAACGCACCUGCUACUUUUCAAUCGCUAAUGAACCGAGUAUUCCAGCCUUUCUUGCGUCGAUUUGUGCUUGUUUUUUUUUAUGACAUCCUAGUUUACAGCAAAUCUGAGGAUGAACAUGUUGGGCACUUGUCGACGGUGCUACAAACUAUGCGAAAGCAUAAAUUAUUUGCAAAUCAUAGGAAGUGCUCGUUUGCUCAAGCACAAAUCGAAUACUUGGGAUAUUUAGUGUCGGCUAAUGGGGUUUCGGCUAAUCUCGCGAAGAUUGAUGCCAUGUUACAAUGGCCAGAACCCAAAACGUUGCGGGAGUUGCGCGGGUUUCUGGGUUUAACCGGGUACUACCGUAAGUUUGUUCGUAAUUAUGGGAAGAUAGCGGGUCCUCUCAUGGAGCAGUUAAAGAAAGAUAAUUUUGGGUGGAACGAAGGGGCAGCGUGGGCUUUUCAGCAGCUUAAGUUUGCUAUGACACGGGUGCCUGUGUUGGCCUUACCCGAUUUUAACAAGACGUUUGUUGUUGAAACUGAUGCGUCGGGGUUUGGUGUGGGGGUGGUAUUAAUGCAAGAUGCACGUCCGAUUGCGUAUUUUAGUCAAGUUUUGGGGUCUCGAGCUCGGUUGAAGUCCGUUUACGAGCGGGAAUUGAUGGCAAUUGUGUUUGCGGUUCAAAAAUGGCAGCCAUACUUGUUGGGACGGAAGUUCAUUGUUCGAACAGAUCAGCGGAGUUUGAAGUAUUUGUUGGAACAACGCAUGGUGGCUGAAGAUCAUCAGAAGUGGUUGUCCAAGUUGUUAGGGUAUAACUUCGAUAUUGAGUACCGUCCCAGAAAGGAGAACAACGCGGCUGAUGCUUUGUCACGAAAAAUAGGGGUGGAAUGUGGUGCACUAGCAACCGGGUGCAACAUCGACUGGGGAAGGUUGUGGCGUGAGCUGGAGCUGGACACCAAAUUGGUUGGGCUUCGACAACGAUUACGGGAUGGGCAGCAAGUACCGGUUGGUUUUUCUAUUGAAAAGGAUCGACUUUUGUUUAAGGGGAGGUUAGUUCUGAAUCGCAAUUCAGAGUGGAUUCCCAAAUUGUUUCAUGAAUUCCAUGGGAGUGUAGUGGGUGGUCAUUCGGGGGUGCAGAAAACUUACCAACGGAUGGCUCGGGAAUUGUUUUGGAUGGGAAUGAAGGGUAAUAUUGCAUGCAUGGUUGCACAGUGUGAUGUGUGUCAGCGCCAAAAGUAUUCCACUUUGGCUCCUAGUGGAUUGUUACAGUCGCUGGAAUUACCUAAUAAGGUUUGGUCCGAGGUUACUAUGGAUUUUAUUGGUGGGUUACCCAAGUCGGAGGGGUUUUCGGUUAUUUUUAUGGUGGUUGACAGGUUAAGUAAAUAUGCUCAUUUUGUUCCGUUGAAACAUCCAUACACAGCCUUGACAGUGGCAGGGGUUUUCUUGCGAGAGGUGGUUCGUCUGCAUGGCGUUCCGGAGUCUAUUGUGUCGGAUCGGGAUCGCGUUUUCUUAAGUUUGUUUUGGCGUGAAUUGUUUCGUUUGCAGGGUACUAAGUUAAAGCGGAGUACGACAUACCAUCCUCAAACUGACGGUCAAACUGAGGUGGUAAAUCGUUGUUUAGAGACUUAUCUUCGUUGUUUGGUGGCGGAUUCUCCAAGAAAUGGGCUAAAUGGUUGUCGUGGGCGGAGUUUUGGUACAAUACUUCCUUUCACACGUCCUCCAAUACUACUCCUUUUCGGGUGCUCUAUGGACGGGAUCCGCCCCAUUUGGUUUAUUAUGGCAGUCAACGCUCUUCGGUGGGAUCGAUGGAAGAAUACUUGGAAGAACGAGACUUGAUGAUGGGAGAGUUGAAGAAGUAUUUAUUGCAUGCCCAACAACUGAUGAAGAUUAAAGCUGACAAGCAUCGAAGGGAGGAGGAGUUUGUUGUCGGGGAUCGGGUCUUUCUCAAGUUGCAACCGUAUCGGUAGCAUACAGUGGCUCGUCGCCCAAAUGAAAAGCUUGCUCCUCGCUAUUUUGGUCCCUUUGAGGAGUUAGAAAGAAUUGGUCGGGUGGCUUAUCGUUUGCGAUUACCAGACUCGGCGAGGAUUCAUGAUGUUUUCCACAUUUCCCAGCUGAAAAAGGCAGUUGGUAAUCAUUUAGUCCUUCCACAGUUGCCGAGUACUUUGACUGCUGAUAUGGAGGUUUUAUUAGAACCUGCUCAGAUAGAAGGGGUUCGUGAAGGGGCGUCGGGGCAGGAAGUUUUGAUUCGAUGGAAGGAUCUUCCAUCUUAUGAAGCUACAUGGGAGUUGAUGGCUGAUAUGGUGCAACAGUUUCCUAGUUUUCACCUUGAGGACAAGGUGAAUGUUUGGGCGGGGAGUAAUGAUACGUCCCAAACAAACCGCUUUGGUCGUGUUUAUCAGAGACGCUUUAAGAAAAGUUUAAAAUAGGAUAAUUAUAAGUUAUAGUUAUCUAGUUAUUAUUGCUUAGUUAUUUUAUUAUUUAGGAAUCGGAUGUUUAGGACUUUUGGUUAUUUUAGCAGGUCACUAUAAUUGGUGCACCAUAGGGAGAAUUGUUUCUUUUAUCGAUUAAUUAAUAAAGCCGUGAGGUAAUUUUGGAGUUCUUCCUGUGACUCGAAUAACAGGAACAGUUCACGGGAAU
RNAcentral lists this long non-coding RNA (5087 nucleotides) under Lactuca sativa (garden lettuce). Its description in RNAcentral is "long non-coding RNA (LSAT_LNC002849)". Lineage: Eukaryota; Viridiplantae; Streptophyta; Magnoliopsida; Asterales; Asteraceae. The record is from RNAcentral.